GUCUGAUUAGCUAGUUGGUAAGGUAACGGCUUACCAAGGCGACGAUCAGUAGCCGACCUGAGAGGGUGAUCGGCCACAUUGGAACUGAGACACGGUCCAAACUCCUACGGGAGGCAGCAGUGGGGAAUAUUGCACAAUGGGCGAAAGCCUGAUGCAGCAACGCCGCGUGAGUGAUGAAGGCCUUCGGGUCGUAAAACUCUGUCCUCAAGGAAGAUAAUGACGGUACUUGAGGAGGAAGCCCCGGCUAACUACGUGCCAGCAGCCGCGGUAAUACGUAGGGGGCUAGCGUUAUCCGGAUUUACUGGGCGUAAAGGGUGCGUAGGCGGUCUUUCAAGUCAGGAGUGAAAGGCUACGGCUCAACCGUAGUAAGCUCUUGAAACUGGGAGACUUGAGUGCAGGAGAGGAGAGUGGAAUUCCUAGUGUAGCGGUGAAAUGCGUAGAUAUUAGGAGGAACACCAGUUGCGAAGGCGGCUCUCUGGACUGUAACUGACGCUGAGGCACGAAAGCGUGGGGAGCAAACAGGAUUAGAUACCCUGGUAGUCCACGCUGUAAACGAUGAGUAC
RNAcentral lists this ribosomal RNA (563 nucleotides) under Clostridioides difficile. RNAcentral's name for it is "bacterial SSU rRNA". It matches the Rfam family "Bacterial small subunit ribosomal RNA", at positions 235 to 816 of the family's 1533-position model. Lineage: Bacteria; Bacillati; Bacillota; Clostridia; Peptostreptococcales; Peptostreptococcaceae. The record is from RNAcentral.